CCGGGGGAACUGAAACAUCUAAGUACCCCGAGGAAAAGAAAUCAACCGAGAUUCCCCCAGUAGCGGCGAGCGAACGGGGAGGAGCCCAGAACCUGAAUCGGCUUGUGUGUUAGUGGAAGCGUCUGGAAAGUCGCGCAGCAAAGGGUGAUAGCCCCGUACACUAAAAUGCACAGGUCGUGAGUUCGAUGAGUAGGGCGGGACACGUGACAUCCUGUCUGAAUAUGGGGGGACCAUCCUCCAAGGCUAAAUACUCCUGACUGACCGAUAGUGAACCAGU
RNAcentral lists this ribosomal RNA (277 nucleotides) under Serratia marcescens. Its description in RNAcentral is "partial 23S ribosomal RNA". It matches the Rfam family "Bacterial large subunit ribosomal RNA", at positions 184 to 499 of the family's 2925-position model. The record is from RNAcentral. Lineage: Bacteria; Pseudomonadati; Pseudomonadota; Gammaproteobacteria; Enterobacterales; Yersiniaceae.